Molecule: ribosomal RNA, 492 nt
Filed under: uncultured bacterium
Lineage: Bacteria
Description: partial 16S ribosomal RNA
Rfam family: Bacterial small subunit ribosomal RNA
Source: RNAcentral
AGUGAACGCUGGCGGUAGGCCUAACACAUGCAAGUCGAACGGCAGCACAGUAAGAGCUUGCUCUUACGGGUGGCGAGUGGCGGACGGGUGAGGAAUACAUCGGAAUCUACUUUUUCGUGGGGGAUAACGUAGGUAAACUUACGCUAAUACCGCAUACGACCUACGGGUGAAAGCAGGGGAUCUUCGGACCUUGCGCGAUUGAAUGAGCCGAUGUCGGAUUAGCUAGUUGGCGGGGUAAAGGCCCACCAAGGCGACGAUCCGUAGCUGGUCUGAGAGGAUGAUCCGCCACACUAGCACUGAGACACGGCCGAGACUUCUACAGGAGGCAGCAGUGCGGAAUAUUGGACGAUGCGGGCAAGACUGAUCCAGCAAUACCGCGUGAGUGAAGAAGGACUUCGGGUUGGAAAGCCCUUUUGUUGGGAAGUAAGAGCAGCAGGUUCAUAACCCGCUGUUAUGACGGUACCCAAAGAAUAAGCACCGGCUAACUUCGUG